GAUGAAGAACGUAGCGAAAUGCGAUACCUGGUGUGAAUUGCAGAAUCCCGUGAACCAUCGAGUCUUUGAACGCAAGUUGCGCCCGAAGCCACUAGGCCGAGGGCACGCCUGCCUGGGCGUCACACGCCGUUGCCCCCCCAUCUACUCCUUCGGGAUUGCGGGGGGGCGGAUGAUGGCCUCCCGUGCGCCUAGCCGCGCGGUUGGCAUAAAUACCAAGUCCUCGGCGACGCACGCCACGACAAUCGGUGGUUGCGAAACCUCGGUUGCCCGUCGUGUGCGUUCGUCGCGCAUCGAGGGCUCGAAAAAAUGCUCGGCUCCGGCUGGGCUUUCAACGCGACCCCAGGUCAGGCGGGGUUACCCGCUGAAUUUAAGCAUAUCAAUAAGCGGAGGA
This 391-nucleotide unclassified non-coding RNA is filed under the name soil metagenome. Its description in RNAcentral is "partial contains 5.8S ribosomal RNA, internal transcribed spacer 2, and large subunit ribosomal RNA". The stretch from base 1 to 122 matches the Rfam family "5.8S ribosomal RNA", at positions 35 to 154 of the family's 154-position model. The record is from RNAcentral.